RNAcentral lists this long non-coding RNA (277 nucleotides) under Nicotiana benthamiana. RNAcentral's name for it is "long non-coding RNA (NBEN_LNC015991)". Lineage: Eukaryota; Viridiplantae; Streptophyta; Magnoliopsida; Solanales; Solanaceae. The record is from RNAcentral.
UCAUUGUUAGUUUCUUCACUAACAGCAGCCAUAGAUGCGGAGUAUAAAAUGGUUUCACUUUUAUCCCCUUCAUCCUCAGCUACUCGAGCAUGAACUUAUUUAUUUUCAGUUCUUUUACUCCAACAAUCUUUAGCAUAAUGACCCAAUUUACCGUAGUUAUAGCAUUUAAGGGGAGGUUUUUGCUGACCUGGAUUGUUGUAAUUUCCUCUUAGCUGGAAAUGAUAAUUACCUCUUCCACGGCCACGAUAGUUGCCGGUGCCUCCACGACCUCUGCCUC